This 467-nucleotide ribosomal RNA is filed under the name uncultured bacterium. RNAcentral's name for it is "partial 16S ribosomal RNA". It matches the Rfam family "Bacterial small subunit ribosomal RNA", at positions 28 to 507 of the family's 1533-position model. The record is from RNAcentral.
GACGAACGCUGGCGGCGUGCUUAACACAUGCAAGUCGAACGGAAAGGCCUCUUUCGGGGGGUACUCGAGUGGCGAACGGGUGAGUAACACGUGAGUAACCUGCCCCUGACUUUGGGAUAACUUCAGGAAACUGGGGCUAAUACCGGAUAGGAGCUCCUGCUGCAUGGUGGGGGUUGGAAAGUUUCGGCGGUUGGGGAUGGACUCGCGGCUUAUCAGCUUGUUGGUGGGGUAGUGGCUUACCAAGGCUUUGACGGGUAGCCGGCCUGAGAGAGUGACCGGCCACAUUGGGACUGAGAUACGGCCCAGACUCCUACGGGAGGCAGCAGUGGGGAAUAUUGCACAAUGGGUGGAAGCCUGAUGCAGCAACGCCGUGUGCGGGAUGACGGCCUUCGGGUUGUAAACCGCUUUCGCUCAUGACGAAGCUUUGUGUGACGGUAGUGGGUAAAGAAGCACCGGCUAACUACGUG